CUGUGGGGUGUUUGUUUUGAUGGAAAACAUGCAGCAAAUUAGGCGAUGAUGGUGCCUAGUUCUCCUGCAGAACUUUCCCAUGCCGUCUGAAGAAGAGAGGUUGAAAGAUCGAAAAAGGCAGCGAAAACAAAACACACUACAGGAUGAUGUAGAAGACUUCCCCCCCCAAGAAGUCACAGCAUGUCACAUCAGCAUCCAGCUCUGCAGGAUCAGAGGAUACUGGGAACAAAAUGCACGGCGAACUGGGAGCUGUGAACUGGGUAUGUAGUCUA
Molecule: non-coding RNA, 272 nt
Organism: Salvelinus sp. IW2-2015
Lineage: Eukaryota; Metazoa; Chordata; Actinopteri; Salmoniformes; Salmonidae
Source: RefSeq, a predicted model, not a curated record